RNA transcript from Pyrus x bretschneideri (Chinese white pear), 3633 nucleotides. RefSeq lists it as uncharacterized. The transcript has 2 exons. Lineage: Eukaryota; Viridiplantae; Streptophyta; Magnoliopsida; Rosales; Rosaceae. The record is from RefSeq and is a predicted model, not a curated record.
GUGUGUUGGCGGAAAAAGAAAAUAAAAGAUCUCAAGAUGUUUGAGAGGUUUUGCGUAGGGCAGUUGUGUGUUGAAUUGAAGGUCCUCUUUUUGUUUCAUGAUUUCUUGUAUUUAUAGCACCCACUCCUUGAGACCGAAUCGAACCCCUAUCUAGAUUGGGAGUUCUUGUCUCGUUCCAACUUUACUUCGAACAACCCUACUCCCAUUAGGACUUUGAACUUUCCCCCCUUUCGAGGCUUUAUUCCUCGCUAGCCCAGAAUCCUGGUUGCACCAGGACUUCCUCGACCCUUUUUAUUUAUCUCGAUUACUCCUUCUUAGGAUAGGACUCGACUGACCCUGCUAACUGGCCCAGAAUCUAUCAAGCAGCCCAUAGUAUUUGACACAGCUUUGGGCCAAGCACAACCUUAUGCUCGGCCCAACAAUAUUAUUUCGGGCCCAAACAUUGCCCCCUCGCUUCUGAGGUCACCGACUGUCAACCUUUGGUUGGGCUUCGACCUUGAAGAAGCGGAACCAUCUUUUGCCUUUUAGACUUCGCUUUUCUUGAUAACCAUUACUAUGCACAUUUAUGGGAUAUGAUUGCACUAUCCUCGUUACUCUCGAUGUACAGCCACGUGUCGACUCUCUGCCAAUCCUAACAACUUUCAAUCAUGGCCCUCGAAAACGUGCACCCACCGCAGGGUCUCUUCCUCAUUAAUGCAUUAAAACUGCCGCCGCACGCAAUCGUGCGUCAUGGAUCCUUGAAAAUCCCGAUCCUAUCCUUGCAGGUUCCCAAAAUAUCCGAAAUGAUUGGGGCCAUUUCUCGGUUAAAUUUCCCCCCAAUUCAACUAGUGCUUUCGAAUACCAAACGUUUGAUCUUCUUUCUGAAACGCCUAUAAAUACCCAAAUUUCUACCAUUCGUAUCCCACGCUUUCAGAAAUUUUGAAAUCUUCCCUUUUCCAUUCCUGCUUGCUCAAACAACGCCCUCAAGUUCAUCUCUUUGAAACCCCAUUUUUAAACCUAUGCCCUACUCUAUUCCUUACCAAUGGCCUCCUUCAUCUCCAAACUUUCCGACGAGUGCAAUAAAUGCAAGGAUUUCAUCGACCGGAGCGCCAUCAAAAUGCUAUGCUUCGAAAAUGAUCUAGCCACCACUCCCAAAUUCUGGGUCCAUUAUUCAAAGAUGUAGUGCCGUCGUGCAUCACCAACCUUCUCAAGGAACAAUCCUUAACACCCUUGCUGCAGGGGUUCGAUUGCUCGAAAUGGUGCUUGGCACGGCCCUAAGGAGCUUGGCCCUCGACUACUGCAGCCUGGGCCGCCUGGGUCGACCGAAUGAGCACAUUCUUCGGCAAAGAGUGGAAAGCUUUCGGCAUUUAUGAUGCCAUCAUGCUCUCGACCAUGGAGAUUACCAUGGAUAGAUAACUGCUCAUGGCGGCCCUGAGUUUAUGGUGUUCGACUACCAACACCAUGAUCCUCCCUUUCGGCCCUUUAGGCCCCACCGUCCUUGACAUCUCGGCUAUCCUUGGGACUUCCCCGUUUGGUCUCCCAAUUGAUGCCGCCCUUUCCAAAUGCCCCUCGCCUCUCGACCUAAAAGCGCUAUUCGACGAAUGGGCCGUCGAGACACUCAGUCGAGGCGAUAGGGAGCCUUCGAAAGAAGAAAUUCAGAAGCUACACAAGAACUUCUUCAACUACAACACUCUUAUCCUUCACUUCGCCAGCCGAGGCGAGGAGAGCCUUAGGAAGGGAGAACAUGAAGCCUUCCUAUUUUACUGGUACAACAAAUUCAUUUGUUGUACUAGGUCGAACAAAUGCUUGGUCGAGAAUAUGCCGGUGGCUCAGGCCCUGGCUAGUGGUCAUUCCUUGGCGCUCAGUCCGGCCAUCGUUGCCAAUCUCUUUCGUUGUUUGGCCGAGAUGACCAUCAACAAAAUUGACCUGCAUCAGAACGGACCCCUCUGGAUAUUCCAACUCUGGCUGCAGGUUUACUUCUCCACCCUUCGGCCCGAGGUUCCCGUUUUCCAGCGCACUGCAGCACUCGGCCCUCAACUAGCCUCUCGACCGGCACCUCCUCACCGAGCCGACGAAGUCCUUAAACACUUCUUCAGCCUCAACGUCCUCUCUAACGACGAGUUCCUGGUGUGCCGGUGUCAAGAAUACCCCGCCUCGACUAGGCUUCCGACGGCAGCGUGGGCCGAGAUCGAAGAUGCUGAUCUUCGUCAACAUUAGGGGUCAUUCGUACUGGCCCGCGACCUCCCCCUUGGUUGCGAUGCCCGCCAAGCUAGCUGGGAGGUUUAUCAUCCCCAUUUCGUCACCCGGCAGCUCGGCUACCUCUAAGGUUGCCCCAUACCCCUGCUCGCUUCUCGCUCCCUCUUAAGUCGAGGACGCCUCUCUGGUUCCUCCGAGAGGGAGUGUAAGAUGACGAAACAAGAGUUUUAGGACAAGUGUAGAAAAUUUUAGCUUCGACCGACCGUUCCUGAAUCUUUGGGUACCGACACCUUUGGGGACUGGUGGGACGAGUACACCCGUGACUUCUUCGGCGUCUCGGUCGGAGACGUGGUAAGCAGAAUCUUCGGUGACCAGCCCAGACAAGCUCCUGCGGCCCAACCCAAGGUACAUUGUCCUUUCGUCCUUUGUACUUCAACUACUCGCCUCUGUUACUGAUUACUUCGCUAUCUCAGGUGGUCGUGUGUUGAGGAAGGCGGAGGUGGUCGCCGCGGUGGUGAGGACGAAAAAAUUGGUCCCCACGAAGAAGACCAUUAUCACCGGGCGGACAUUAUCAGCCAAACGCCCCCACCAAGACGCUGAGCCGGGGGAUAACGCUCCUCGCCCUUCCAAACGCGUCAAGAAGUUGGUGAAGAAAGGUGACCGGGAGAUCCAUGUUGUUCCUAGCGACACCACAGGGACAAUUGUACCUGCCGGCUCUCCUUCUAUCCCGGCUGCCCCGGCUUCGGUGGACCCUCUUCCUCCAGCCGUCCCUACGACUAGGGUUAUGGUCGAUCCGGCCGUCGUACCAGCUACAGCUUCGGAGUCGGCCAUUGCGCCUGCCUUGGGGAAAACGGCCGCACCCGACUGUCAUUCUGGAAGAGGACGAUGAGAGCGACGAGAGCGACGAGAUCCCGCUGGAGUGUCGCCCUCGACCAGCCAACUCUCCUCCCGUCCAUCCUCCUUUUGUGGUCGAGGCAGCCGUCCAACCGGAUCCCCCUACGGCGGAUCGUGGGAAGAGGCCCCUGACUGAUCCUGAGGCGACGGCCGAAACGCCGCUCCAUCCGCAGGAUGAAGACCUCCCCAUUCCUCCACAAGAAGUUUCCUCGGCCUUUGUAAGUUUUAUUUCUUUUGUGUUGAUUUUAUCAUGACACAUUUGUCCUUAAAGAAAUAUUAAAUGUCAGGUGCCCGAACGUUCAUUUCAUCGACAAUUUUAUGUGCCGACAGGCGUUAUCUAUAUUUCCUAGCCACCGUCGUGCCCAUCAAAUGUAGAUAACCUCCAUCGGCCGCAUGAAUUGAGAAGCGGUCUUAGGCACUGGGCUCGGCCAUUAAGUUCCCUGGGUUCGAGCAAUGACCCAGAGGGCAUGGCUGAAGUCUCCUCCCGGUAGGUCUAAAAACAAUCCCUUUGUCAUGCACUACAUGUAUUUCACGCCUUAUUUUCCUUUACAAAUUUUCCUCUAU